ACUCUAAGCGGUGGAUCACUCGGCUCAUGGGUCGAUGAAGAACGCAGCAAACUGUGCGUCAUCGUGUGAACUGCAGGACACAUGAACAUCGACAUUUUGAACGCAUAUCGCAGUCCAUGCUGUUAUGUACUUUAAUUAAUUUUAUAGUGCUGCUUGGACUACAUAUGGUUGAGGGUUGUAAGACUAUGCUAAUUAAGUUGCUUAUAAAUUUUUAUAAGCAUAUGGUAUAUUAUUGGAUAAAUAUAAUAAUUUUUAUUCAUAAUAUUAAAAAAUAAAUGAAAAACAUUAUCUCACAUUUGAAUGUGAAAAACGAAGAGAAAUAUUUUCUUUUUCAAUCAAAUAAUACUGAGAAAUGUCUAGCAUAAAAAAUUGAAAUAUUUUUCAUCUAGAAUUGUCUCUUAUUAAUGAUUCGGAAAUAGAAAAAUCUUGGUUAUUUAUUAUUCUUCGUUGGUUCGUUAAAAAUGGAUAAAUAAAAACUUUGCAUACAAGAAUUAAUAAAAAUGUUAUAACAAUUUAAUUAAAUGUUUUAUCAUUAUAUAUAAAGAAUUUAUGGCCAAGAUAAAGUUAUAUACAACCUCAACUCAUAUGGGACUACCCCCUGAAUUUAAGCAUAUUAAUUAGGGAGGAAAAGAAACUAACAAGGAUUUCUUAGUAGCGGCGAGCGAAAAGAAAACAGUUCAGCACUAAGUCACUUUGUCUAUAUGGCAAAUGUGAGAUGCAGUGUAUGGAGCGUCAAUAUUCUAGUGAGAAAUUAACGAUUUAAGUCCUUCUUAAAUGAGCCAUUUACCCAUAGAGGGUGCCAGGCCCGUAUAACGUUAAUGAUUACUAGAUGAUGUUUCCAAAGAGUCGUGUUGCUUGAUAGUGCAGCACUAAGUGGGUGGUAAACCAUCUAAAACUAAAUAUAACCAUGAGACGAUAGUAAACAAGUACCGUGAGGGAAAGUUGAAAAGAACUCUGAAUAGAGAGUUAAACAGUACGUGAAACUGCUUAGAGGUUAAGCCCGAUGAACCUGAAUAUCCGUUAUGGAAAAUUCAUCAUUAAAAUUGUAAUAUUUAAAUAAUAUUAUGAGAAUAGUGUGCAUUUUUUCCAUAUAAGGACAUUGUAAUCUAUUAGCAUAUACCAAAUUUAUCAUAAAAUAUAACUUAUAGUUUAUUCCAAUUAAAUGCUUGCAUUUUAACACAGAAUAAAUGUUAUUAAUUUGAUAAAGUGCUGAUAGAUUUAUAUGAUUACAGUGCGUUAAUUUUUCGGAAUUAUAUAAUGGCAUAAUUAUCAUUGAUUUUGUGUUUAUUAUAUGCACUUGUAUGAUUAACAAUGCGAAAGAUUCAGGAUACCUUCGGACCCGUCUUGAAACACGGACCAAGGAGUCUAACAUAUGUGCAAGUUAUUGGGAUAUAAACCUAAUAGCGUAAUUAACUUGACUAAUAAUGGAUUAGUUUUUUAGCUAUUUAUAGCUAAUUAACACAAUCCCGGGGCGUUCUAUAUAGUUAUGUAUAAUGUAUAUUAUAUUAUUUAUGCCUCUAACUGGAACGUACCUUGAGCAUAUAUGCUGUGACCCGAAAGAUGGUGAACUAUACUUGAUCAGGUUGAAGUCAGGGGAAACCCUGAUGGAAGACCGAAACAGUUCUGACGUGCAAAUCGAUUGUCAGAAUUGAGUAUAGGGGCGAAAGACCAAUCGAACCAUCUAGUAGCUGGUUCCUUCCGAAGUUUCCCUCAGGAUAGCUGGUGCAUUUUAAUAUUAUAAAAAUAAUCUUAUCUGGUAAAGCGAAUGAUUAGAGCCUUAGGUCGAAACGAUCUUAACCUAUUCUCAAACUUUAAAUGGGUAAAACCUUAACUUUCUUGAUAUGAAGUUCAAGGUUAUGAUAUAAUGUGCCCAGUGGGCCACUUUUGGUAAGCAGAACUGGCGCUGUGGGAUCAAACGUAAUGUUACGGUGCCCAAAUUAACAACUCAUGCAGAUACCAUGAAAGGCGUUGGUUGCUUAAAACAGCAGGACGGUGAUCAUGGAAGUCGAAAUCCGCUAAGGAGUGUGUAACAACUCACCUGCCGAAGCAACUAGCCCUUAAAAUGGAUGGCGCUUAAGUUGUAUACCUAUACAUUACCGCUAAAGUAGAUGAUUUAUAUUACUUGUGAUAAAAUUUUGAAACUUUAUGAGUAGGAAGGUACAAUGGUAUGCGUAGAAGUGUUUGCGUAAGCCUGCAUGGAGCUGCCAUUGGUACGAUCUUGGUGGUAGUAGCAAAUAAUCGAAUGAGACCUUGGAGGACUGAAGUGGAGAAGGGUUUCGUGUGAACAGUGGUUGAUCACGAGUUAGUCGGUCCUAAGUUCAAGGCGAAAGCCGAAAAUUUUCAAGUAAAACAAAAAUGCCUAACUAUAUAAACAAAGCGAAUUAUAAUACACUUGAAUAAUUUUGAACGAAAGGGAAUACGGUUCCAAUUCCGUAACCUGUUGAGUAUCCGUUUGUUAUUAAUAUGGGCCUCGUGCUCAUCCUGGCAACAGGAACGACCAUAAAGAAGCCGUCGAGAGAUAUCGGAAGAUUUUCUUUUCUGUUUUAUAGCCGUACUACAUGGAAGUCUUUCGCAGAGAGAUAUGUAGAUGGGCUAGAAGAGCAUGACAUAUACUGUUGUGUCGAUAUUUUCUCCUCGGACUUGAAAAUUAUGGUGGGGACACGCAAACUUCUCAACAGGCCGUACAAUAUCCGCAGCUGGUCUCCAAGGUGAAGAGUUCUAGUCGAUAGAAUAAUGUAGGUAAGGGAAGUCGGCAAAUUAGAUCCGUAAUUCGGGAUAAGGAUUGGCUCUGAAGUUUGAGAUAGUCGGCUAUGGGAAACAAUAACAUGGUUUAUUGUCUCGUUCUGGGUAAUAGAGUUUCUAGCAUUUAUGUUAGUUACUUGUUCCCGGAUAGUUUAGUUACGUAGCAAUUGUGGAAUUUCUGCUAAAUUUUAAGAAUACUAUUUGGUUAAACCAAUUAGUUCUUAUUAAUUAUAACGAUUAUCAAUUAACAAUCAUUCAGAACGGCACGGACUUGGGGAAUCGACUGUCUAAUUAAAACAAAGCAUUGUGAUGGCCCUAGCGGGUGUUGACACAAUUGAUUUCUGCCAGUGCUCUGAAUGUCAAAGUGAAGAAAUUCAAGUAAGCG
RNAcentral lists this ribosomal RNA (3127 nucleotides) under Drosophila melanogaster (fruit fly). RNAcentral describes it as "eukaryotic LSU rRNA". The stretch from base 572 to 3127 matches the Rfam family "Eukaryotic large subunit ribosomal RNA", at positions 1 to 2242 of the family's 3401-position model. The record is from RNAcentral. Lineage: Eukaryota; Metazoa; Arthropoda; Insecta; Diptera; Drosophilidae.